This 254-nucleotide ribosomal RNA is filed under the name uncultured bacterium. RNAcentral's name for it is "partial 16S ribosomal RNA". It matches the Rfam family "Bacterial small subunit ribosomal RNA", at positions 524 to 776 of the family's 1533-position model. The record is from RNAcentral.
UACGUAGGGUGCGAGCGUUGUCCGGAAUUAUUGGGCGUAAAGAGCUCGUAGGCGGUGUGUCACGUCGGCCGUGAAAACCUGCAGCUUAACUGUGGGCGUGCGGUCGAUACGGGCAUCACUGGAGUUCGGCAGGGGAGACUGGAAUUCCUGGUGUAGCGGUGAAAUGCGUAGAUAUCGGGAGGAACACCAGUGGCGAAGGCGGCUACCUGGCCCACUCUUGACGCUGAGGCGCGAAAGCUAGGGGAGCAAACGGG